CUUGCCCUCCCUCUAGCCCAACCAAUACCCCAUCAUAAAGAAUUAACUAACCUAUUCAACCAAAACAUUAUAACUUAUCCUAGUAUAGGCGAUAGAAAAGACUCCUGGCGCAAUAGAGACCAACCGUACCGCAAGGGAAAGAUGAAAUAACAAUGAAAACUACAAGCAAAGAACAGUAAAGACUAACCCUUGUACCUCUUGCAUCAUGAUUUAGCAAGAACAACCAAGCAAAGUGAACUAAAGUUUGCCACCCCGAAACCCAAGCGAGCUACUUGCGAGCAGCUAAAACUUGAGCGAACCCGUCCCUGUUGCAAAAGAGUGGGAUGACUCGCUAGUAGAGGUGAAAAGCCCAUCGAGCUGGGUGAUAGCUGGUUACCUGUCUAAACGAAUCUAAGUUCUCCCUUAACCCACCCCCUAAAGACACCUACCCAACCUCACAUGGGACGGGGUUAAGAGUAAUUCAAUGGGGGUACAGCCCCAUUGAAAAAGAACACAACCUCCUCCAGCGGAUAAUAACCACUCCUCCUCCCUAUACUGUGGGCCUUCAAGCAGCCACCAACAAAAGAGUGCGUCAAAGCUCCCCUAUCAAAAAUCCUAAACCCCUUUUGACUCCCUCAACCAAAGCAGGUUAACCUAUGAUAAUAGAAGAAUCAAUGCUAAAAUGAGUAACCUGGAACCUUCCUCCACAUAGCGUAAACUUACAUCAGCAUAUUAUUAACAGACUCCAACUUAUACCGCACAACAAGCAAUACGUAUAGACCCACCUGUUAAACCAACUCAGGAGCGCUUACAAGACGAUUAAAACCUGCAGAAGGAACUCGGCAAACUAAAGACCCGACUGUUUCCCAAAAACAUAGCCUUUAGCAAACAACAAGUAUUGAAGGUGAUGCCUGCCCAGUGACUUUAUUGUUUAACGGCCGCGGUAUCCUAACCGUGCAAAGGUAGCGCAAUCAAUUGUCUCAUAAAUUGAGACUUGUAUGAAUGGCCAAACGAGGUCUUAACUGUCUCCUGCAGAUAAUCAGUGAAAUUAGUAUUCCCGUGCAAAAACGAGAAUGUGACCAUAAGACGAGAAGACCCUGUGGAACUUUAAAAUCACGACCACCUUCCUACCACUCUCCCCUCCAUCGGAUCCACCCACACAACCCCCUGGUCGACAUUUUUCGGUUGGGGCGACCUUGGAGAAAAAAAAAUCCUCCAAAUUCACAGACCAUAACUCUUUACCAAGACCCACCCAUCAAAGUACUAACAGUAACUAGACCCAAUACAAUUGACCAAUGGACCAAGCUACCCCAGGGAUAACAGCGCAAUCUCCUUCAAGAGCCCAUAUCGACAAGGAGGUUUACGACCUCGAUGUUGGAUCAGGACAACCUAAUGGUGCAGCCGCUAUUAAGGGUUCGUUUGUUCAACGAUUAAUAGUCCUACGUGAUCUGAGUUCAGACCGGAGCAAUCCAGGUCGGUUUCUAUCUAUGAACACACUCCUCCUAGUACGAAAGGACCGGAGAAGUGGGGUCAAUACUGCAAGCACACCCCAACCCUCUAAGCAAUGAACCCAACUCAAUUGCCAAGAACACCCCCACCUCACUAACACUCCUAGAAAAGGACUACA
RNAcentral lists this ribosomal RNA (1606 nucleotides) under Scleroptila afra (grey-winged francolin). Its description in RNAcentral is "16S ribosomal RNA". It matches the Rfam family "Bacterial large subunit ribosomal RNA". Lineage: Eukaryota; Metazoa; Chordata; Aves; Galliformes; Phasianidae. The record is from RNAcentral.